CCCGACCGCCUUUGUCUGCUGCCCUCGCCCGAGGGCCGGAGCGCCUGGGCUGCGGCCUGCCCGCGCGGGCAGCGAUGGCGCCUCCAGCCAGCGCGGCUGGUCUCCCUUCCCCAGCUCGCGGCUCUCGGGCCCUUCCUCAGGGACAGCAGUGAGCUUCAGCCCGUGAGUUAACCACGGCCGCCGCAGAGCCCCCAGAGAGCGGCGAGACAGGAUCGGAGGCAGCUUCUGAACCGCUUCUCACACAGAUCUGUUAGCUUCACACCUAGCGCUCACCCCGCCAGCCCAGCCCAUGAAAAGCAAGCUUGGGUGCUUGUUCACGUGGGCUAACAUGGUCCUGCGAUCGCUUCGUCAGCAGAAACAACUUGACUCAAAUUCUUGUUUCAGAAUGAACACCCAUGCAUUUUUGGUAAAGAUUUUAUUUGCCAAACAUUUUCUCAUCUCUAAAGGAAGUUCAUAGACCUGUAUAAACUUUGACAAGCAAAGGUGAUCUCUGACCCUUGCGAUAAUGGAGUCACAGCAGAGACAAAAGUCCCAAUGUCACAGCUCCCACCCAAGGAUGUUUUUUUGGUUACUGAUCUGUUUGCAAGUCCAGAGUAGACAGAUGACUCCAGUGCCAUACAGAUGUGCCAGACAGAGGAUGGAACAGUGCCACAGGACUACUUUGCUUGCUGUGGCAGGAAUACAAAUUGGCGAUGGAUUUUGUGCUAAAUGCAACCAGCCCCAAUGGACCCCACCUCCAACUGCAGUGUUUGAGUGCAUUACUGUUGAGCCACUGAAUCGCCAAAUAAAUAAGCCUCUUGGGCAACAGCAGACUGUAAUCAGUGGCCAUUGCUUAACUCAAGCAUUUGGAGUGUUUCUGUCAGCUUCAAAUCAAAAUGCCACUGACUUAAUAUCAUCUUGCUCAUUGCUGGGUUCUCCAUGCAAAGCAGCACCUCUUCAUGAUGCUGAGACAAGCAGCUCAGGUGCCAUAAAAACAAGAAAUUUAGUCAUGAUGGGAGCAACUUGGCACAGGAAGACUGUCCAAAGAUUUCCCCACAGGGCAGGAAUAGCUAUUUCUCUUAUCAGGGAUGGUGGCUGGCGGUGGUGGCUGCACGCUCCUGUUCAGCUGCAUGAUGCAGCUCUGCUGAAAAUGAAGGUUUUGGAUCUGGUAACUCAGAACAGAGUCUGAUCCUGUAAGAAGCGAACACAGUACAUUCCUCUACAGACCUGAACUGCUUAAGACAUUUUUUUUUUUUCUCCAAUCAACCAAAACCUAAAUUCUUGCUCUGGGUCCAGAACAAGUUGAAAAUCCCAG
RNAcentral lists this long non-coding RNA (1294 nucleotides) under Apteryx haastii (Great spotted kiwi). RNAcentral describes it as "lncRNA (ENSAHAG00000004170.1)". The record is from RNAcentral. Lineage: Eukaryota; Metazoa; Chordata; Aves; Apterygiformes; Apterygidae.